AAUCAACGCUGGCGGCGUGCCUCAGACAUGCAAGUCGAACGAUUAAAGCUCUCUUCGGAGAGUGCAUAGAGUGGCGCACGGGUGAGUAACACGUAAGUAAUCUACCUUCGAGUGGGGAAUAACGUCCGGAAACGGACGCUAAUACCGCAUAAUGCAGCGGCAUCGUAAGAUGACAGUUGUUAAAGAUUUAUCGCUUGAAGAGGAGCUUGCGGCAGAUUAGCUAGUUGGUAAGGUAAUGGCUUACCAAGGCUACGAUCUGUAACCGGUCUUAGAGGACGGUCGGUCACACUGACACUGAAUAACGGGUCAGACUCCUACGGGAGGCAGCAGUCGGGAAUUUUGGGCAAUGGGCGAAAGCCUGACCCAGCAACGCCGCGUGAAGGAUGAAGUAUUUCGGUAUGUAAACUUCGAAAGAAUAGGAAGAAUAAAUGACGGUACUAUUUAUAAGGUCCGGCUAACUACGUGCCAGCAGCCG
Molecule: ribosomal RNA, 475 nt
Filed under: uncultured bacterium
Lineage: Bacteria
Description: bacterial SSU rRNA
Rfam family: Bacterial small subunit ribosomal RNA
Source: RNAcentral